ACCUGUGGAAGGAUCAUUA
RNAcentral lists this ribosomal RNA (19 nucleotides) under Penicillium janthinellum. RNAcentral's name for it is "partial 18S ribosomal RNA". Lineage: Eukaryota; Fungi; Ascomycota; Eurotiomycetes; Eurotiales; Aspergillaceae. The record is from RNAcentral.